GGCGGUGCCGCGGAGGAAGCGCAGCUGUCGGGUCGUCCUUCUACCUGCGGGCUCCUUAGGCCUGGUGUCCGGCCCAGGGUUCUCCUACUGCGCGAAGCGGCAAAACAAUGGUCCUAACCCGAGGGCGAGGCGACGCGGAGACCGAAAGCACUCCGCUGCGGGUGGUGGUCGAGGAGGUGUCUGUCGCCCGCACUUGCUAGGGAUCGGUAAAUACCAAGUGGCUGACUUACCGCUGCAGUCAGUGCAGCGAGCUACCAGAAAAUUAGAAGUUACGUAUGUGGCUGCAUUAUAUUUCUGUCGGCGGUAGACCUAACCUGAGAGGUCAGGGACCGGCAUUUCAGACGGGAGCGCAGUGCGGCUUUGGGGAGCAGCUUGACAGACGCGUGCCAGUUCUUGAUAUUUUCUGAUUAAAGUUUUCCGUGCCUCCUCACUUAAGAUAAGUAACAUUGAUUUAGUACUUGCUGUACGCGGGGUAUUGUGCUAGGCACUUUACGUGUAUUCUCUCAGUCGUAUGCCAACCAGCGCCUCAGUAAAGGCUACCCCCAGCCCUCAGAGCAGAGUGCGUGGCUCUCUCAGAUCCCUUGCAACACUGAGUUUUCUAUCCUGUCUUGUAAUAGCAAAGGCUUCCCACAGCCCUUGUCCCCGCCUUGGAACUUUUACCUCCUGCCUUUCUUCCCACGGAGCCCGUAGGGUAUUGCAAGAUACUGCUGGGCGGGUGAGACCUGUGUCUUCUGCUUCUACAGCUAACACAGUAAGCAUUUGUUAAACGGAUGACAACCAUGGGAGCUCUCCAGGGAUUCCCCUCUGUCACAGCCACAGAAUCUCCCUGAGGUGAUCGCAGUGGGUCCUUGGGGAUCCGCUGCUGAUGGAACCUCAGUAGACACUCAGGGCUACAAUGCUGCACAGCCUGAGGAGCCGUCCCGGCAUCCUGUACUUUCAUGACCUCAGUGAAUCUCCAGAGAUGUCCUGAUAAAGCCUCAGUGGAUCCUUAGGGACCCCUUCCUGGACAUAGCCUCAGGAAGCCUCCUGGGAUCCUUGCCUAGUGGGGCUCAGGAAGGCCCCAGGGAUCUGUUCCCAAUAUACAGCCCCAGGGCCUCCCCAGAGGUCUUCCUCCGUGAUCAGCUCCUGACAGCCUCAGGGAUGCCCUACCGACAGGGGAUUUUCCCCAGCUCAAUUUAGCCUCUUGCAAGAAUCAGUGAGUGGGGUGGCAGCAGAACUCAGAUAGUAGCGUUUGGAAAGGGAAGAUUGACAGCAGUCAGCGAGCGACUGAUUGGAUGUAAUUAUAACAUCUUAGGUUUGGUUGCUCCCCAUAACUUACCUAAUGCUUUCCUGUCUGCUGUCUCUUAGGGGAGGGAGUUAGUUACAGGGAGACUAAGAUUGACUUGAAGGCUUCAAGACUAUCUGAGCGUAGGAUUACUAGUACCACCAACGGAAACCACAAAGCAAGCAGUGAGCCUGUUUGCAGCCAGGUUUAUGGUUGGUUUAGGACAUGUUGGGUUUGAGGUCAGAUGUCAGGCCUCAGCCAAGCACUAGGUUAGAGGACAUAUUGGUCUCCAGGUGAGGAGACGGGGUUACACGGGAGGACAGGCCAGGGCGAAGUCCCAGGACCGGUGGGCAGGCAUAAGGUCAGCAUCAAGAGCAGUGUAAUCAAAAACCAAAGUCAAGUUAGAGAGAAUCUCCAGAAAUGGGUUCAGGCGGGGGCGUGUGGUAGAGAUGGAUGUGAGGGAGUGUCUGGAAGAAGGCCAGGCGUGAAAGGCAGAGUCCUGCAGAGGUAGAGUCGAGGAACGGGACCCAUGCAGGAGUCAAACAGGACGUGUGCGUGAGCACAGAGAGUGAAUGAGGGAGCCUUUAUUCACCUGAGCGGCAAACAUAAGAGGCUUCCUUUCGCUGAGAUGCAGGCUACUGUAAAAACCGAGGACAUACCAUUUCACACUUAACAAAAAAUUUAAAAAUCUCUCAGCGCCGAAAUUGAGGAGGACGUGGGUUUAUGAGCAGCCCAAAUCAGAGUACGCCGACUCACUGCUGGCGGGAGCACAGAUGCAUCCAAUAACUGGACAGCCAUCUAGCAAUGUCUCGUAGUUAAAGGUGCGCGCACCCUACAAGCCAGGUGUGCGCCCUAGAGCCACUCGCCCGUGUGCAGAGACAGGAACGUUCAUUGCAAUGUUGCCCCCCGGGGGAAGCUGAUCAAUUACACAUAGUUUUGCGGAGAAUGCUCUACGGUAGUAAAAAUGAAGACGUUAACUUACUUGUCAACAUGAAUGGAUUUCACAAGCAAUGUUGAGUGAAAAAAAGGUGAAUGUGAAUGCAUGUGGUAUGCUACCACUUCAUUCCCUUUUUUUAGAGUAAAAGAAUACUAAAAGCUAAAUUCAGGAGUGUGGUCGCCUCUGGGUGUUGGUGGGGACUUCGAUCGGUGAGGAAUUUACAGAGAGUUCUCUUGUUUUACGCUUUAUUUCUUAAGGCAGAUGGACUGUGUUCAGGUGUUUGUUUUAUUCUUUAUGACUUUUUGCAUGUAUAAAUUGUUUCAUAAUGCAUGAAAAUGUAAUUACAGAACUCUCACUCUGUUAUGCACUGAGCUACCUCAAACACUUUUUGGAAAAGGCAAGCAUAAAUGCUGCAGCGACGAAGGAACAGUGCUGAGGCUUGGAGGAGUCAGGUCCACUGAUAGGUUUGUAGCUAUUGUUUCAGGUUGAGUAGCUAUGACGGGACAAAAUGCAACCGGGAACGUCAUUGCCGAAGCCAGGAGACCGAAGCCAGGAGACGAGAAAACUGGGUGCUGCCUAACAGGUGGCUUACUGGGGAGAAGUUAAACUGGGAGGGGCUACAGUGGAACGUGGGGCCAACCCCGAAGGAUGGCCCCCAGAGAUGUCUUGAGAUGAGCCGGUGGAGCCUUUGCACAGCUGCAUGGACGAGUCACUGACUGUGGGCUGCCCCCUGGGAAGGUGCAUAACCUUGGGAGAGGAAGUGCCUUCUGCCGAGGUCAGGUCCCAAGGAGGGACUUAUCUCCAAGCCAUCAGCAGCCAACGCUGCCAGCAGCUGAGGGGAAUGAGAGCCUUCGUCUUCUAGGACGAGUCUGGGUGGCGUGACAUAAGCGCGUGUGCGGCAGCCCGCCCUCUGCCCCACGCAGGUCGGCUGGCUGCAUAAGUUCACCAUCUAGGGAGACGUCUCCAGGAUCCUGGUUGGUCCCUCUUCUGGAUAGACUUCCAAGAGGAAGGUUGACCACGUGAUCCUGGAGCCACAACAGUCACCGUCCCUCCAUCACCUGUUGUAGACGCCCUCCUGCCGCCACAACCCUAACCCUGCCCCUACCUGGUAGCACCUCUGCUGUUCUAGGUCACUUACCUGUUGGAGUGAUCCAGACUCUCAUCCUAGAGGCCUCGGAGCCGCUGGUCACUGAUGGUGCCCUCCUCAGGCCGUGGCUGCUCUCCUUGCCCACGUGCCAUUAAUGCUGGUCAGAGAGACACCCCAGUGGCUCAUGUAGGUGCCACACGUGACCUUGCCGCCCUCACCACACAGGAGCACCCCUGCCUCCCCCAUGGUGAGGAGGAGACACCUCUCCUUGCUUGCUAGUUUCCUGGCACAAGGAGCCCCAAGUGAGUAAGUUCAGCGAGACUCUCGCUGUGUCCUUUUCUGAAAGCGUUCCCCCUCUGGGGUUCGGGACCUCUAGAAGAGGCCAGAAUUGUGAGAACAGGAAACACACACUCCCCUGAGAGCGAUGACAGUCGGGGCCCCCUGCUCCCACCCCUGGCUCCUGCACCCAUGCCUUCACUUGGAGGGGCCACGGCACCAUGCAGGGCGGACACCACGUCUUGAAGGGCAGCGCUCCAGGUUUCAUCGCUCUGUCAGGGCGCAGCCUCCGGGGGGGCGCAGAACCUGGAGUAGGACCGGUGGGUCCCGUGGCCGUGUAGGAGCUCACUACCACCACCUCCUCGGCUGUAAAGCGGCACCCCUGGGCCAGUGCAAGGCUGUGCACAGUUUCCUGUGGAUGCAUCGAACAGUCGGAGACCCACACACGGGAUACAUGUGUUUCAAUCAUACACAAACGGAGACCAGACCAGAAAAUUCCCUGAGCAGACCAAACCAGUUCAGUCACACAAGCAAAGCUCAAUUUAGCUUAUUUUCCAAGACAAGCGAGGCGAACGUGACCUGGGUCACUUCUUGUUUACUCUUCUGCGAAUCAUAAGCGAAACUUAAAUUGUUCCCCAAAAUUGAUAUGAGGAAACCACUAACAAGUUCCUUUCCUUUAACAAAAUUGUAACUAAUCACUGUGGAGAAUAAACACUCGCUGCCUCCAGACUAUGUAAGCUGCUUUUUAACAUACUGUGAG
Long non-coding RNA from Physeter macrocephalus (sperm whale), 4324 nucleotides. RefSeq lists it as uncharacterized. Lineage: Eukaryota; Metazoa; Chordata; Mammalia; Artiodactyla; Physeteridae. The record is from RefSeq and is a predicted model, not a curated record. The transcript is spliced from 3 exons.